AUUACCAUAUAACUGUCCGACCCCCCCCCCCCCAAAACCCUAGAGACCGACCUUACUUCCCCCUUUCUCAUCUCUCUCACCUCCGCCGCCCGCCGGAAAUCGCCUUCGGCGGCGGCGAUACCCCCAAACUACCUUAAAUUGAUACCACACACUCCCCACACCCCCCUGAUCAUCAUCCUACUGCCAAUUUCCCCAAAAUCCCUGCCAAAUUUCUCCAAUUUCAGAUCUUAAAGAUGGCCAGAAACCCUAGUCACCCUUUUUUCGAUUUCCCGAGUUUUCAAGGCUCGAUUUGACUUGAAACUUGCGUUAAACAAUUGUUCUAGUUGAGAUGAUAGUCUUGGUUCAUUUCGAGGAUUACCGGAUUCUGACCAAGUCACCACUGACCGGCCAAAGCUUCGUCGCCAUCAUCGCUCGUUGAUUCGCCUCAAUCAUCGACUCACUUCCGGCCAAAUUAGUAUACUUUUCUUUUCCCUUUUCCUUGUUUCUUGUUCUGUUUUUAUUUUAUUUUGGAUCAUUAGUUAGGUGUUAAGUAUUAAUUAGUUCAAUUAAAAAUAGGAUUAUUUAUGUUAAUUGCUUAAUUUAGGAUUAAUAUCCUUUUGUUUAUCAUUUUUUGCUUAGUUUUCUGUUCUGGCCGGAUUGGUACCUAAAUCCGGUCAAACUAAUUUUUGUUUGCAUGCCUUUAUUAAGUGCAUAAUCAGUUAGUGUGUUUAAUUGUAUAAGUUAUCGAUCAAUUGUUAAAUAAUUUGGUUGGUUAAUGUUUGUUCAUAUCAGUGUAUUUUUUUAUGUCUUAAUUGAUACAUGAGGGAGCUAAAGGAACAUGGAACCUUAGGGCAUUGAAAAUCAGAAAUUAGGUUAAAAUUGGGGUGGUUAUUUGUAUUAAGCAGAACUUAGGGAGAUCAAUUGGACAGUAAAAAUGGGGAAUUUCAUAUAAGCAUAUAAGAAGCUUCUAGAUCUUGGACAACUAUCCAUUUUUAGUUUUAAAAGAUCCUGCAAUUUGAAAGAAUUAUCUAGAAAUAGGGACAACUGUCCAAAGCUGUUAAAAAAAUGCUUUUUUCCUAAAUUUUAGGGACUGACAUUCUAGAAUGAUUCCCUGAUUUUUCUGUGCACACAACAGAUUUUAUGCUCUAUAUAAGAGACCUCACACUCCCUCACAGACGUUAUUUUCUCUGCAUUUCUCACCCACAAAGACUCACUGAUUCUAUACAGAAGAAUAGUCUAAAAUUUGAAUAUAUGCUUAGGAAAACCCAAAAAAAAAGAGUUUAAAAAACCACUUUAAAUUCCAUGGCAUGGUUUCAAUAGUUUAUGAGUUAUGGCUGGACUUUGAGGUAGACUUGAAGUUGUUUCUUAUUGUUACAUCUGCUGCUUGUGUUGUGUUGUUAAGCUUGGCUAAGCUCCGGAAUUCACCAUUUUGACCUUUAUUUGGUCUUCUUUCUGCUGUAUACUUUUUUUUUCUGCUCUUAGGUAUGUGACUGCAUUCUUAUAUUUCUCCAUUGAAUGGAAUUUCCUGUUUAAUCCAUGUUUGAGUAUAUAUAUCUGUUUGUGAUAAGUUCAGAUUUUGAUUACAUGUGUUAAUUUUGUCCAGAUUUGUUCCCAUUUGUCCUUAUAAAUUAACGUUUUUGACUGUUUAUGCCAUAAUCUUGUUUGAUCCAGUAUGUUGUUUGGCUAAAUGUAUUGGUAAAAAAUAAAUAUUACACGUGGAAUAAUAUGCGGAUGACAUGGCAAGAUACGUGGAUUACUAAGAAGAUGACAACUGGAGUUCCACAUUAAAAGGAGUCACGAUUUAUAACAGGUACGAGCAAAUCACUCACGAGACGAAUAGGUACGGUUGCCCGAGCCUAAAUUAUUCAGUGAAGAGACACAUGCAUGAUGAAUCAAGACAGUAAAGAGGGAAGAUUCAUGAACCUCAAAUUAAUGUGGAAGAAGAAUUGAAACCGUUAUAGAAUCUUCAUGAACAGUUACGGUUGUCAAUUAUAACGUUUCAUUAAUGUCAUUAAUGCUCAUAACGAUUCUGUCAUAAAAAGGAAGAAACGUUAUAUUUGUAAAUUCCUAUAUAAGGGAAGGGAAUUUCACUUGUAAGGAGACGUUCUAAUGAAUAUUGGCAUAUAAUUACUUUCUUGUGCUUUCUACUGAUUACUUUG
Molecule: long non-coding RNA, 2138 nt
Filed under: Nicotiana tabacum (common tobacco)
Lineage: Eukaryota; Viridiplantae; Streptophyta; Magnoliopsida; Solanales; Solanaceae
Description: long non-coding RNA (NTAB_LNC017562)
Source: RNAcentral